GUUAUAUAGCUCUAUCUAUAUAUCUGUCUCUCUCUCUCUCUAUAUAUAUAUAUAUAUAGUUAUAUAGCUCUAUCUAUAUAUCUGUCUCUCUCUCUCUAUAUAUAUAUAUAGUUAUAUAGCUCUAUCUAUAUAUCUGUAUGUAUUGUUUUUCUGUACCUUACCAUAUUGUACAUAUGCAGAUGAUGUGAACAGUGUCUUUAUUGUUUGAUUUAUGGAUGUCUUUACGUUCUACCUCUCCAGUCCCCCUUCUGUCUGUCAAUCAAUAUUGUUGUUGAUUUUAUGUUUAUUAUUGUUAUUAUUCUAUUGUUGUGGAAACAUUCCAGUGAAGGAAUUCCUGUUUAUUUGAAUGUAAAAAUAAUAUAAUUUGAAUGCAGGAAGCAGAAAGGGUUGAACUUUAUACUCUUAACUGUAUACAAGGGGGAACGAUAAUGUUUUUCACUCUGUGAUCUCAUCAUUUAUGACCAAAUACAUGUUUACUACUAUGCCACCAGGAAUUCGUUUCUGAAGAAAAUAGAAUAAACAAUGUGAUUAUCAUUAUAAAUUAAUGUGAUUAUCAUUAUAAAUUAAUGUGAUUAUCAUUAUAAAUUAAUGUGAAAUCAAACAUAUUUUUUGAUUUUUUAAAAUUAUUUUUUUUAGCUUACAGCAGUGGAGAAAUGUAGCCAACAAAAUUAUACUUGAAUCUAUUUAGUAAAUCUAAUUCUUAAAUGCAUUACUAUACUAGUCGGGAAAAAAUACUUGAUUUUAGAAUUUCGUUGUUAUUAGAAUGUUUUUUCCCCCAAGGUGGCAGUGCCCAAGGUGUCAGUGCCCAAGGUGUCAGUGCCCAAGGUGUCAGUGCCCAAGGUGGCAGUACCCAAGGUGGCAGUACCCAAGGUGGCAGUACCCAAGGUGGCAGUGCCCAAGGUGGCAGUACCCAAGGUGGCAGUGCCCAAGGUGGCAGUGCCCAAGGUGGCAGUACCCAAGGUGGCAGUACCCAAGGUGGCAGUGCCCAAGGUGUCAGUGCCCAAGGUGUCAGUGCCCAAGGUGUCAGUGCCCAAGGUGUCAGUAGUAACAACUAUCUCUGUCUUACAGUGUGAGAGCCGACCUGGUUCGGUCCUAUUCUGUAGAGGUGAGGUAGCUAGGGAAGUCCUCCUAUAGGAGACCUAGGACCACCCUGCCAUGACCAGAGAGACAGAGUCUGCAUCCCAAAAUGGCACCCUAUUUCCUAUAUAGUGCACUCGUCCCCAUAGGCCCUAGUCAAAAGUAGUGCACUGUAAAUGGAAUAGUGUGCCAUUUGGGAUGGAGCUUAUUGAUCUCAAAAUGUUAUUUUAUUCAUGUUGUUUUUUUCCUCAAAACAUUCCAAUCGCUUAACUCGUCUCGAAUGAUGUCAUCAUUGUGAUUGCAAAUGGCUGUUGUGAUUGUUGACAAUUGUUAUUGUUUUCUCGAUUUAAAUUUUUAUAAUGUUUUACCCUUUUUCUCAUGAUUUCUUGUUACGGUUUAAAUCUUCAAACAUGUUGAAUUAAUGAUGUCAUUUCCGUUUCGUUUGAUCAGUUGUGAAUUUGCACUUACCACUUCGAUCUGCUUGUGAGUGUACAGUAGAGUAUGUGGUGUGUGUGUGUCUGACUGUGUCGUAAUGCUGUAGUUUUCAGUCGGUUAGUGUGACCUCCGUAUGGCAACAGGUAGCCUAGUGGUUAAGAGUGUUUGGGCCAGUGACUGUGUCGUAAUGCUGUAGUUUUCAGUCGGUUAGUGUGACCUCCGUAUGGCAACAGGUAGCCUAGUGGUUAAGAGUGUUUGGGCCAGUAACCAAAAGGUUAUUGGUUCGAAUCCCUGAGCCGACUAGGGGAAAAACAUAUGUUGACGUUUCUUUGAGCGAAGCACUUAACCCUAACUGCUCUGGAUAAGAGCGUCUGCGAAAUGACUAACAUGUAUAUUUCUGUCUGAUUGGAUAAGAUGCUAAAUGACUAAUGUGUAUAUUUCUGUCUGAUUGGAACACCAAAAUAAGACAUUUUAGAGUAUAUAUAUAUAUAUAUAUAUACACUCUUCUUUUUUUUAAAGCACAAAGGAAUAUUAGGCACAAGAUCACAUCAAAACUCACUAUGAUACUAGUCAUACAAAGAUAAUAUCCUAUCACUGAAACACUAGACAACACAAGGCAAUGUGGGGGAGAGAGAGGAGAGAAACAGAGAGAGGGGGGGAGAGAGGUAAGAAACAGAGAGAGAAGGGAAAAGAUAAUAUCCUAUCACUGAAACACUAGACAACUCAAGGCAAUGUGGGGGAGAGAGAGGAGAGAAACAGAGAGAGAGGUAAGAAACAGAGAGAGAAGGGAAAAGAUAAUAUCCUAUCACUGAAACACUAGACAACUCAAGGCAAUGUGGGGGAGAGAGAGGAGAGAAACAGAGAGAGAGGUGAGAAACAGAGAGAGAAGGGAAAAGAUAAUAUCCUCUCACUGAAACACUAGACAACACAAGGCAAUGAGCUCUUGGUGUUGGAACAGUGUCAUCUUGGAAUGAGAAAUGCAUCAUUUUGAACACGGGGUAUCACACCAUGUAUUUACCAGUAGUAACUCUCUAAGACAGAGUCAGCUCUACAGAGACACCCGUAAGGCCUGGGGGCUGCUAUCACACCAUGUGUACCAGUAGUAACUCUCUAAGACAGAGUCAGCUCUACAGAGACACCCGUAAGGCCUGGGGGCUGCUAUCACACCAUGUGUACCAGUAGUAACUCUCUAAGACAGAGUCAGCUCUACAGAGACACCCGUAAGGCCUGGGGGCUGCUAUCACACCAUGUGUACCAGUAGUAACUCUCUAAGACAGAGUCAGCUCUACAGAGACACCCGUAAGGCCUGGGGGCUGUGAGACCUCUCUCUGUUCUCUGUAUUCCUCCAAGAGGAAAUGCUGUUGUGCUUUAAAGGACUUUGAGGGCUCCAUCCAAUCCGUACCGCGGUAGUUCAGCGCUAUGCUGGGAUUGAAAUGUGAUGGUUUACCAUGAAUGCAUUAUUUCACGAAUUAGGGAACAUUGCCUUUUUAAAUUUCAAUUGCGCUAUAGUGCUGAAUUUACGCAAUACAGUUACAAUGCAUCAUCCCUAAAUAUAACAUGACAAUGGACUGACAGAGGGGGUGUCCCUACACAACGCCCCACACCCCCACUAAUGUCAGUCCCUACACAACGCCCCACACCCCCUAUAAUGUCAGUCCCUCUAAUGUCAGUCCCUACACCACACCCCCUCUGUCAGUCCCCACACCCCCUCUGUCAGUCCCUACACAACGCCCCACACCCCCACUAAUGUCAGUCCCUACACAACGCCCCACACCCCCUAUAAUGUCAGUCCCUCUAAUGUCAGUCCCUACACCACACCCCCUCUGUCAGUCCCCACACCCCCUCUGUCAGUCCCUACACAACGCCCCACACCCCCACUAAUGUCAGUCCCUACACAACGCCCCACACCCCCUCUAAUGUCAGUCCCUCUAAUGUCAGUCCUUACACCACACCCCCUCUGUCAGUCCCCACACCCCUCUGUCAGUCCCUACACCCCCUCUGUCAGUCCCUACACCCCCUCUGUCAGUCCCUACACCCCCUCUGUCAGUCCCCACACCCCCUCUGUCAGUCCCUAAACCCCCUCUGUCAGUCCCUACACCCCCUGUCAGUCCCUACACCCCCUCUGUCAGUCCCUACACCCCUCUGUCAGUCCCUACACCCCUGUCAGUCCCUACACCACACCCCCUCUGUCAGUCCCUACACCCCCUCUGUCAGUCCCUACACCCCCUCUGUCAGUCCCCACACCCCCUCUGUCAGUCCCUACACCCCAUAAGAAGAUGAAGAAAAUGAAAAACACAAAUAAGAUGAUAUUGUAUUCCCUGUUAUUCACUGUUUGCUGUUUAAUAAAAUGAGAUGUCCUA
This is a long non-coding RNA of Oncorhynchus tshawytscha (Chinook salmon), 3872 nucleotides long. NCBI's taxonomy places the organism in Eukaryota, Metazoa, Chordata, Actinopteri, Salmoniformes, Salmonidae. The record is from Ensembl.